AGGAUUAACGCUGGCGGCGUGCCUAACACAUGCAAGUCGAACGAGGUAGCAAUACCUAGUGGCAGACGGGUGAGUAACGCGUGGUCAACCUACCGUUGAGUGGGGGAUAACUAGCCGAAAGGUUAGCUAAUACCGCAUACGAGUCUCGGGGGCAUCCCUGGGCCUUAAAAGGAGCAAUCCGCUCGAUGACGGGACCGCGUCCCAUUAGCUAGAUGGUGGGGUAACGGCCUACCAUGGCACCGAUGGGUAGCUGGUUUGAGAGAGCGACCAGCCACACUGGGACUGAGAAACGGCCCAGACUCCUACGGGAGGCAGCAGUGAGGAAUUUUCCGCAAUGGGCGAAAGCCUGACGGAGCGACGCCGCGUGUGGGAAGAAGGCCUUCGGGUCGUAAACCACUGUCGAAGGGGACGGAUAAUGACGGUACCCUUGGAGGAAGCCCCGGCUAACUACGUGCCAGCAGCCGC
Molecule: ribosomal RNA, 465 nt
Filed under: uncultured bacterium
Lineage: Bacteria
Description: SSU rRNA
Rfam family: Bacterial small subunit ribosomal RNA
Source: RNAcentral